RNAcentral lists this transfer RNA (74 nucleotides) under Oscillospiraceae bacterium. Its description in RNAcentral is "tRNA-Gly". It matches the Rfam family "tRNA". Rfam says of the family: Transfer RNA (tRNA) molecules are approximately 80 nucleotides in length. Lineage: Bacteria; Bacillati; Bacillota; Clostridia; Eubacteriales; Oscillospiraceae. The record is from RNAcentral.
GCGAGCAUAGUUUAGUGGUAAAACAUAAGCUUCCCAAGCUUAGGUUGCGGGUUCGAUUCCCGUUGCUCGCUCCA